UGGGGAAUCUUGGACAAUGGGCGCAAGCCUGAUCCAGCCAUGCCGCGUGGAUGAUGAAGGCCUUAGGGUUGUAAAAUCCUUUCGCCGAGGACGAUAAUGACGGUACUCGGAGAAGAAGCUCCGGCUAACUUCGUGCCAGCAGCCGCGGUAAUACGAAGGGGGCUAGCGUUGUUCGGAUUUACUGGGCGUAAAGCGCGUGUAGGCGGGUUGGAAAGUUGGGGGUGAAAUCCCGAGGCUCAACCUCGGAACUGCCUCCAAAACUUCCAGCCUGGACUCAAGUAGAGGCAAGUGGAAUUGCGAGUGUAGAGGUGAAAUUCGUAGAUAUUCGCAGGAACACCAGUGGCGAAGGCGACUUGCUGGACUUGUAGUGACGCUGAGACGCGAAAGCGUGGGGAGCAAACAGGAUUAGAUACCCAUGUAGUCCCUGAGCGGGCUGGCAAGGCGCAU
RNAcentral lists this ribosomal RNA (447 nucleotides) under uncultured bacterium. RNAcentral describes it as "bacterial SSU rRNA". It matches the Rfam family "Bacterial small subunit ribosomal RNA", at positions 355 to 825 of the family's 1533-position model. The record is from RNAcentral.